GCCGGAGUAGCUCAGGGGUAGAGCAAUUCACUCGUAAUGAAUAGGUCAGGGGUUCGAAUCCCCUCUCCGGCU
This 72-nucleotide transfer RNA is filed under the name Actinomycetes bacterium. Its description in RNAcentral is "tRNA-Thr". It matches the Rfam family "tRNA". From Rfam's summary of the family: Transfer RNA (tRNA) molecules are approximately 80 nucleotides in length. Their secondary structure includes four short double-helical elements and three loops (D, anti-codon, and T loops). The record is from RNAcentral. Lineage: Bacteria; Bacillati; Actinomycetota; Actinomycetes. RNAcentral also lists the same sequence under 2 other names.